Molecule: long non-coding RNA, 450 nt
Filed under: Salvia miltiorrhiza (redroot sage)
Lineage: Eukaryota; Viridiplantae; Streptophyta; Magnoliopsida; Lamiales; Lamiaceae
Description: long non-coding RNA (SMIL_LNC010473)
Source: RNAcentral
UAAUUUUUGAAGUGUUUCCAAUUAAAAAUGAAGUGGAAAGAGAAAGCACAUUACAACCAAACAACUAGUUUCAUUACAAAGUCGAAGCUCCUCAGCUCAGAUCACGUUUACAUACUACAUACUACUACCAAGUUAAGGAAGAAGAAGAAGAAAGCAUGGCAAUAAAUAAUGAAAAAUAAAGCAAAUCAAGAAAGUUCGUUUAGGGUCGGUUAGUAAGUCUGGGACCAGGGUGAUCAGCCCCAGGUGGCCCAGUUAGCUUCACUCCCAACUCUAGGCAUGGUGGGGUUAACCUUAGAAUAGGCAUCAACUGCAAAGUAAGCACCACACAAUGCUCCCUCACUAUCAACUCUAGGCAUUGCUUUCAUCUUCUUCAUUGGGUGCUCAAAGCUCAUCAACCCUCUCUCACUGUGGUACAUACACCCUGCUGGGAAUGGAGCAUAUGAUUUUCCA